GCAGACACAUUCCAGCCAAUCAGCAGCAGACCCUCCCUUCCAGACCCUCCACCUCCUGGACAGCUCACUAAGAAUGCAGCUUCACAAUGAAUAUAAAAUGGAUGCUGUCCAGGAGGUGGGAGGGUCUGGGAGGGAGGGUCUGCUGCUGAUUGGUUGGAAUGUGUCUG
Molecule: microRNA precursor, 167 nt
Filed under: Pelobates cultripes (western spadefoot toad)
Lineage: Eukaryota; Metazoa; Chordata; Amphibia; Anura; Pelobatidae
Source: RNAcentral